ACCUCUCGGGGUUACAGCCUUGCUGAAUUAUUCACCCUUGUCUUUUGCGUACUUCUUGUUUCCUUGGUGGGUUCGCCCACCACUAGGACAAACAUAAACCUUUUGUAAUUGCAAUCAGCGUCAGUAACAAAUUAAUAAUUACAACUUUCAACAACGGAUCUCUUGGUUCUGGCAUCGAUGAAGAACGCAGCGAAAUGCGAUAAGUAGUGUGAAUUGCAGAAUUCAGUGAAUCAUCGAAUCUUUGAACGCACAUUGCGCCCUUUGGUAUUCCAAAGGGCAUGCCUGUUCGAGCGUCAUUUGUACCCUCAAGCUUUGCUUGGUGUUGGGCGUCUUGUCUCUAGCUUUGCUGGAGACUCGCCUUAAAGUAAUUGGCAGCCGGCCUACUGGUUUCGGAGCGCAGCACAAGUCGCACUCUCUAUCAGCAAAGGUCUAGCAUCCAUUAAGCCUUUUUUUCAACUUUUGACCUCGGAUCAGGUAGGGAUACCCGCUGAACUUAAGCAUAUCAAUAAGC
This 511-nucleotide ribosomal RNA is filed under the name Alternaria arborescens. Its description in RNAcentral is "eukaryotic LSU rRNA". The stretch from base 143 to 296 matches the Rfam family "5.8S ribosomal RNA". Lineage: Eukaryota; Fungi; Ascomycota; Dothideomycetes; Pleosporales; Pleosporaceae. The record is from RNAcentral.